AUGCCAGGAUCACAAGCCGACGAGAUUGACUGGGAGAACUUAACGAACAAGGAGCUUCGUGAUAAGAUUCAGCAAAUGAUGACUGAACAGGUGCAAGAUGUGCUAAACAAUUUUGAAGAGGCCAUGGAGAAGAUCACUGGCCUUGAGAAGACGUUCGAAACAAAGCUCGAUAACAGAUUUAAUGAACUGCUUGCGCGUCUUCCACCACCGUCUGCACCUGCCGCACCUCUGCAACAACAACAACAACAACAACUACUACCUCCACAUCGUGAAACAGCCCUCCGCCGAGCAAGCCGUGUUCCUCUUCAGCCUGGCCAAACUGUUGGUGCUGCUGUUGAUAAUUCUGUGGCUCCUGCUGCUGAUGGGGAGGAGGAUGAUUAUGUGGGAGAUUACGAGGAUGAGGUUGAUCAAAAUCAGAACUACGUGCAACCACCAGCACCACCACCAGCAGGUCGACCUCAGGUAUAUAUUCGUAAUGGUAGGCCUGCACCACCACCUCAGGUACGAGAUGAUGUGCAUAUUCCUAAACUGAAAUUGAAUAUUCCACCAUUUGAGGGUAGAUAUGUUCCUGAUAUAUAUCUUACUUGGGAGUUAGAAACUGAACAACGUUUUACAUGUUUACAAUAUCCCGAGGAGAGACGGGUUGCUGCUGCUGUUUGUGCUUUCACUAGUUUUGCAUGUGUAUGGUGGUCUGAACAUUGUAGAUUAUAUCCUAUUCCAACUACUUGGGCUGCUUUGAAAACUGCUAUGCGUACGCGUUGGGUUCCACCAUAUUAUCAACGUGAAUUGCUUCAAAAAUUGCAGCGCUUAAGACAAGGAAAAAAUUCUAUAGAAGAAUAUUAUCAGGAAUUACAAACUGGCAUGAUUAGAUGUGGUAUUGUUGAGGAGAAUGAAGCUAUGCUUGCACGUUUUCUGGGUGGAUUAAAUAGAGAGAUUCAGACCAUUCUAGACUAUAAGGAGUAUACUAAUAUCACUCGUUUAUUCCAUCUUGCUUGUAAAGCUGAACGUGAAGUGCAGGAUCGACAAGCAUUGGCGUGA
RNAcentral lists this ribosomal RNA (1038 nucleotides) under Triticum aestivum (bread wheat). Its description in RNAcentral is "partial small subunit ribosomal RNA". The record is from RNAcentral. Lineage: Eukaryota; Viridiplantae; Streptophyta; Magnoliopsida; Poales; Poaceae.